CCUACGGGAGGCAGCAGUAGGGAAUCUUCCACAAUGGGCGAAAGCCUGAUGGAGCAACGCCGCGUGGGUGAAGAAGGUCUUCGGAUCGUAAAACCCUGUUGUUAGAGAAGAAAGUGCGUGAGAGUAACUGUUCACGUUUCGACGGUAUCUACCCAGAAAGCCACGGCUAACUACGUGCCAGCAGCCGCGGUAAUACGUAGGUGGCAAGCGUUAUCCGGAUUUAUUGGGCGUAAAGGUAACGCAGGCGGUCUUUUAAGUCUGAUGUGAAAGCCUUCGGCUUAACCGGAGUAGUCCAUUGGAAACUGGGAGACUUGAGUGCAGAAGAGGAGAGUGGAACUCCAUGUGGAGCGGUGAAAUGCGUAGAUAUAUGGAAGAACACCAGUGGCGAAAGCGGCUCUCUGGGCUGUAACUGACGCUGAGGUUCGAAAGCGUGGGUAGCAAACAGGAUUAGAUACCCCUGUAGUC
Molecule: ribosomal RNA, 465 nt
Filed under: uncultured bacterium
Lineage: Bacteria
Description: partial 16S ribosomal RNA
Rfam family: Bacterial small subunit ribosomal RNA
Source: RNAcentral